Molecule: ribosomal RNA, 2582 nt
Filed under: Pterocladia mexicana
Lineage: Eukaryota; Rhodophyta; Florideophyceae; Gelidiales; Pterocladiaceae
Description: large subunit ribosomal RNA
Rfam family: Bacterial large subunit ribosomal RNA
Source: RNAcentral
UAAAGUUUUGAAAGGGUACUCAAUGAAGAUCUUGAUAGAAAUUAAUUACAAGGACGUUACAAUACGAAAAGUUGUGAGGAGACAUAGGUCUGUGAUUCAUAAAUUUCCUUAGAGAAAACUCAAAUAUUUAAUAGUUUAAAUGAACAAUGUGAAUUGAAUCAUCUUAGUAGCAUUUAAAAAAAUCAAACGAGAAUUUGUGAGUAAUGGCGAAUGAAAGCAAACAAGCAGUAUAAAAUUUAUUUACGAAAUUCAACUAAAGAAGGUAAAAGUCCUGUAAUAAAUAAAUUUUAUAUAUCAGAAGAAAGUAAUAUGAUGAAUUUUGUAUGAACAAAGGAGAUCCACCUUCUAAAGCUUAAAGAUAAUUUCUAAUCGAUAGUGAACGAGUAUUGUGAAAAAAAGAUGAAUAAAUCCGACUAAGGAAAAAUGAAAUUGAGUAUUUAUAAAUUUUCGAAGUUUAAAACUACGAAGUGCCUUUUGCAUAAUGAAUCAGUAAGUUAAUAUAUAUUGCAAGUUUAAAACAUAGCGAUUAAACAAAAGUAAUAUAAAUUAUACCUGAAACCAAGUGAUCUAACCGCGAACAAGUUGAAUAUUUAUUAAAUUAAAUUGGAGGGCUGAACUCACAUAUGUAGCAAAAUAUGGAGAUGAUUUGUGGUUAGGAGUGAAAGAUUAAUCAAACUUGGAGAUAGCCGGUUUUUCACGAAACGUAUUUAAGUACUACGUAGUUUAAAUAAAUUGUGUUUAGAGUUACUAAGUAAAAGAAGGAGCGUAAAAACUUACUGAAUUUAAUAUAACUCCGAAACAAAAUUUAACUUUUAACUACAGACAGUCUAUAGGCGAUAAGGUUUAUAGACGAGAGGAAAACAAUCCAGACCAUUUACUAAGAUCUUAAAAUUAUAAGUUUAGGGAAAAAGAUUUAAAUAAGAGCAAAUAUAAUUUGAAUAAGCUUAGAAGCAGCUAUUUACUAGAGAAAGCGUUUUAGCUCGUUAUUUAUUUUCUUAAUUUAAAUCAAAGAUAAAGGAGACUAUAAACUAUAUAUCGAUGUAGUGGAUCAAAUAAAUAUUGAUGGUAGUGAAACACUUUGUAAUUUUAGUAGUUUGUAAAAAGUAACUAAAAAUAUCAAAAGAGCUAAUGCUGAUAUGAGUAACGUAAAUUGUGUUUAAUCACAAUCUCUUUAUGUUUAAGGUUUUUAACGCAAAUUCAAAAACGUUAAGUGAGUCGGUCCUUAAAGAGUAAAUGAAAAUUAAAUCUGAAAGGAAUUUAAAAAUUAAAACUAAUUAUAUGCAUAAUAUUUGUGUAAGAAGCUAAAAUUUCAUAUUAUAUAAUUAAUUAAGGGAAUUUUUAUUAAACUUUUAGCUUUCAAGAAAAACUUAUAAUUAGAAGCCGUACUUAAACCGACACUGGUAAACUGGUUAAGAAAACUAAAGUGAUCGAAUAAAUUAUGUUGAAGGAACUAGGCAAAUUAACUCUGUAAGUUCGCGAUAAAGAGAACCAAAUAAAACAGUUUGGUAUAAAAACAAAAAGCAACGACUGGUUAACAAAACCACAGGACUCUGCAAAUUAAUUAAAAUGUAUAGAGUCUGAUGCCUGCCCAGUGCCUAAAAAAGAAAAAAAUGGGUAUAAUUUGCUCAAAUUUGAAUUCUAGGUAAACGGCGGUUCUAACUAUAAGAAUCCUUAGGUAGCGAAAUUCAUUGACGGGUAAAUUCCGUCCUGCAUGAAAGGCUUAACGAUUGCUUUACUGUCUCCAAUAUAAAUUCGGUGAAAUUACAAUACCUGUGAAAAUGCAGGUUUCUUGCAGUAAGACGGAAAGACCCUAGAUCCUUUACUCUAAUUUUAUAUUGUAAAUGCAUUUUUGUUGAAUAGGAUAAGUGGGAGUGCAAACUAAAUUGAAAUACCACUCUACUAAAAGAAAUUUACUUAUUAAAACUAAAACGUUAUAAGAUAGUAUAAAAAUGAGAGUUUACUUGGGAUGAGUACCUCCCAAAAAGUAACGGAGGUGUACGAAGGUAAAUACAAAAGUAUAAUGGCGCAAUUUUGCCUGACAAUUAGAUUGAUAAAUCAAGUUGAGACGCAAGUCAGUCAUAGUGAUCCAAUAUUAUCGAAAAGCGUGGAAUUAAUAUUGCUCAACAGAUAAAAGGAACUCUAGGGAUAACAGAUUCAUCGUGAUUGAAAGCUCAUAUUGAUAUCACGGUUUGAUACCUCGAUGUCGACUCAUCUUAUCCUGAAACUGAAACCGGUUUCAAGGGUCUAGUUGUUCGCUAGUUAAAAAGGUACGUGAGUUGGGUUCAGAACGUCGUGAGACAGUUCGGUCCCUAUCUACUGCAAGUAAGGAAAAUAAAAAGAGUAUUUUUAGUACGAGAGGACCAAAAUACAUUAACCUAUGGUGAUAAGUUGUUGUACCUACAGCAAAUUUAAUAGCUAAGUUAAUUAAUUAUAAAUGCUGAAAGAAUCAAAAAGCAUGAAAAUAACUUUUAAUUUUUCGCGAAUAAUCUAAAAGAUAAUUAGAUUGAUCGGUUUGAAGUGGAAGCUUAGUAAUGAGUUUAUUAAAAGCUUACAAAUACGAAUUUAUUCAAAAACUAUAUACU